RNAcentral lists this long non-coding RNA (942 nucleotides) under Felis catus (domestic cat). Its description in RNAcentral is "lncRNA (ENSFCAG00000041544.2)". The record is from RNAcentral. Lineage: Eukaryota; Metazoa; Chordata; Mammalia; Carnivora; Felidae.
AUGGACGGCCCUGUGGCCGCGGGCCUCCAGCCCAGACUGUCGGGGCUCGUGGCCGGGUGUGUGUCCCCCCUGCCAGACUGCAGGACAGACAGCCAGGGAACCCAAGACCGCCGCCCACAGACAGUGGAGAAGGGAUCCAAGACGGAGGGGGCAGGGGAAGGGCCGGCCCACCACAGCCCACCAACCCCUUCGCCCUCGCGAUGCUUGUCACGCUGUCACCCUGGCGGCCUCCUGGAGGAAGCAGGGCCACCCUGUACCCUGAGACCCCACCAGCGCUGCGGCCUGGACCCUCCUAGACCGGCUGUCGCCACACAGGGGCUCCAGGACGGCUCGCUCACCUGCCGCAGGCCUGUGGCGCCCCCCCUCGUCCGCACCGUCCGUGCUCCCUGUGAGCUGGGCUCCCCCACCCCCCGCAGCCCCGCGCUCAAGCCGCGGUUCUCCCGGCCUCCGCCCCGCCAGCCCCGCUCCACUUCUCGCGAGGCGGCAAAGCGGGCUCCUGAAAACGUGAACUGCCUCGCUCAGUGUGUUUGCGGGACGUACCGCCCAGCACGCUCUGCACGGUCCCGGCGCCGGGCAGACAGCGUUAGGCAAAGGGGAACCCCGGGGAACCCCGAGCCCGCCCCGGCGCCGCGCCCUCGAGGCCAGGCCAUCGACGGCGGGCCUGUCAGGCGGCCACCGGGGCCUCAGGGGCAGCAACGCCGCCCCGGGCUGGAGCCACACGCGACUCCCAGCGACGCGGAGCAGAAGCCGGCAGGAUUUCUCAACAAUCUGAGAAAGGUCAACUGUUGCAGAUCUUCAGGGUACAUCACAGACACCGCUGCCAGCCCAGCUCCCACACUACGGAGCGCUCACUCAGAAACCCCGGCGGCGGCGGCCCCACGUGACAGAGCGGCUCUGGAGCCCACUCGCGCCCACCCAGGGGCCGGUCUCCGCCAACUCUAA